CGAAGCCAUAAUAAAAAAUAUUUAACUGAUCGAUUUUCUCAUCUCAGUAAGGGCGAGCUAGGAAUCAAUAAACUGAGCUUUUCCAACGGUCGUCGAGAAGUAGAAUUGAUAGGUUGACCAAGAAAUCAAGAUGUGCUUAGUGUUUGUUUGUGAUGAAGAUGAGAGAGUGGUAGGGAGACAAGCAGCGCCUGGGGCAUGUCCUUACUGUGGAGGGAUGAUUCAGGCGAUGGAUAUAGAGAGCCAGUGGAGGUUCUGUUUCUUGCCUCUUUACUUCAAGACCAAAAGGAGGUAUUAUUGCUCUGUUUGUGCCAGACGCUUGGUGCCUCAAUAUUAGGAUUUUCUCUGCUUCAUGUACAUAAUACUUUUAUAUGAAUUUUAAUUGAGUUUUUGUUAUAUCUCACCUUAGAUAUUGAUUUCUAGUCUUCAUUUUUUUUUUUUUUUUUUUUU
Molecule: unclassified non-coding RNA, 447 nt
Filed under: Hevea brasiliensis (rubber tree)
Lineage: Eukaryota; Viridiplantae; Streptophyta; Magnoliopsida; Malpighiales; Euphorbiaceae
Source: RNAcentral